This 277-nucleotide ribosomal RNA is filed under the name uncultured bacterium. RNAcentral describes it as "partial 16S ribosomal RNA". It matches the Rfam family "Bacterial small subunit ribosomal RNA", at positions 524 to 796 of the family's 1533-position model. The record is from RNAcentral.
UACGGAGGGUGCAAGCGUUAAUCGGAAUUACUGGGCGUAAAGCGCGCGUAGGCGGUUUGUUAAGUGAGAUGUGAAAGCCCAGGGCUCAACCUUGGAACUGCAUCUCAUACUGGCAGGCUAGAGUAUGGUAGAGGGAGGUAGAAUUCCACGUGUAGCGGUGAAAUGCGUAGAGAUGUGGAGGAAUACCAGUGGCGAAGGCGGCCUCCUGGACUAAUACUGACGCUGAGGUGCGAAAAGCGUGGGGGAGCAAAACAGGAUUAGAUACCCCCGGUAGUCC